RNAcentral lists this transfer RNA (82 nucleotides) under Candidatus Coatesiibacteriota bacterium. RNAcentral's name for it is "Candidatus Coatesbacteria bacterium tRNA-Leu". It matches the Rfam family "tRNA". From Rfam's summary of the family: Transfer RNA (tRNA) molecules are approximately 80 nucleotides in length. Their secondary structure includes four short double-helical elements and three loops (D, anti-codon, and T loops). The record is from RNAcentral. Lineage: Bacteria; Candidatus Coatesiibacteriota.
GCGAGAGUGGUGGAAUUGGCAGACGCGCUGGACUUAGGAUCCAGUGGAGAAAUCCAUGGGGGUUCGAGUCCCCCCUUUCGCA